RNA transcript from Haliotis rubra (blacklip abalone), 1307 nucleotides. RefSeq lists it as uncharacterized. The record is from RefSeq and is a predicted model, not a curated record. Lineage: Eukaryota; Metazoa; Mollusca; Gastropoda; Lepetellida; Haliotidae. The transcript has 6 exons.
AUCCCUCUAUCCGCUGUACGGAAAGUACGGAAAAUAAAUAGUUCACUUGACUGUCACGUGACUGACAAUACAUGUUGGAAACAGCCAAGUGAUCAGCCUUAUCGUUGCUGUGUCUCAAGCAGUAUAGAGUAACCAGGCCAGUUCCACGAAGAAUAACAAGUGUCACACUGGUGGGUAUAAUAUUACACAUAUAAGUUCGCCGUGACAUGUCGGCAGUGACGUGCUAGUUUAGCCUUGGGAUACAAUCACCGUGAGGCGGACACGUGGAGUUGUGAUAUUGAGGUUGUCCUUCUACUGACAUUUCAACGCCAAAACGCUGGGAUGUGGUGGAAAUACUUAUUGCUUGUGACCUUGACCCUGUGUGUCAUUAGUGACGGUAUCUCGGUUAGGGACUCGAACUCGGGACCAAGAAGGGCCAGACUGACGCAACUUGACUAUCGGAGAGACUUCACAAUUGGACCUGAUGAAAGAGACUUCUCGUUUCUGAGCAAUUCUCAGAGAUAUGGAUAUACAGAUUCCAGUUGACCCACGGAUACCAACCAAAGUGAGCCCCAUCCUGCUGUCACAGAUGUGCGCAUACUGUCGUCAACAAGGGAACCAGCCGUGUAUCGACCGAAUUUGUUCCAGGACAACAGUAGAGAGGGGCAGUGCGGUAGCCUAGUGGUUAAAGUGUCCCUCGUCACACUGAACACCCGGGUUCAAUUCCCUACAUGGGUACAAUGUGUGAAGCCCAUUUCUGGUGUCCCCGCCGUGAUAUUGCUGGAACACUGCUUAAAGCUCACUCACUCACAACAGUAGAUAGAAGGAGCAGUACAAUGAUUGUACUCACGCAAAGGAAUGAGUUUCAGUAACGAUGUUCCACCUAUAUCAUGGCUCGCGAUAUCAAUGUAGGAAGUUGCUAUGAUGAUGUCCCCUCCCUGGUAAUGCUGCAAUACUGCACAGCGUAGAAACUUACUCACUUAUUCACUCGUUCAACAUUCAGGAUGAAGUAAUAUCAAUGGAUCUCCAGUUGAGAUCCUGGGCGAUUUUGUGUAUUUUAUUUAACGAACUUUCACAUAUAGUGUACAUUUCUGUCAUAUCAUAUGGACUAAAUAUCGGGGCUGGAAUAUAAUGCCAGUAAAUGGAAACCUUCUUUGAGUAAAGCAUAGAAAUUGUAACUAACUGUGGUGUUCAGUGACACAGCUAGUAUAUAUGGUAUAUAUGUAUAACUCCUUUGUGUACAAGAUUAAUACCUGUUUGCUCUGACACUAUUGGAUGGUUGUAGUGUAUUGUAAACUGUUUGCUAAUAAAAACAAUUGUUUGGGGGA